Molecule: long non-coding RNA, 656 nt
Filed under: Vigna radiata
Lineage: Eukaryota; Viridiplantae; Streptophyta; Magnoliopsida; Fabales; Fabaceae
Description: long non-coding RNA (VRAD_LNC006874)
Source: RNAcentral
GAAGUAACUGCUGCACUCAACUUUUCUUUUGCAUUGUUAAAUUUCCAUCUUUCCUUUGGUCUUUGAUUGCCAGUGAACCGAGGAAUAAUAAAUCAUACAAAAAAUCACCAAAUUGAUAUGCUUUUUCUUUCUAGGAGUUACAUAUCCAGAGAAACAACUGGUAUCCCAAUAAUUAUAGCUUUGGAUAAAAUUGGCCAUAGUUCAGCAUUCACUUCCCUGCAUAAUUGAAUUUGAACUCAACCGCAUAAUGAUGAAGUUGAGAAAAAAACCAAGUAUACCAUAUAGUAGUAUUCUUGUUAUUGUCCUAAAUAACUGAACCCUGAUCAUUUAGUUGGCUCUGUCUUUUCAAUUUUCCCAUGCAGCUAUCUUGAUAUGCUUGAGAAUAACCCANAUAUUGACCGCAAUGAGCCUCUGGAGGAAUUCAUCAAGUCAAGGGGUUACUCAGAAUUAUUUCAGAAAGCCUAUCUUGUGAGUUCAAUGCUGUUAUAUGUAUUUUCUACAUAUAUAUAUCAUUUCUAUGAGAAGUGUAUAUGUAUAAUAUCCAAUGCCUUUAGAUUCCAAUUUGUUCUUCUAUCUGGUCUUGCGCUUCUGAAGGAGUUAUGAGCUUCUCUGCUUUCUCAGUGCUUUCGUUCUCUCGCAACCACCAUCUACUUCAG